GCCUGGGUGGCGAAAUUGGUAGACGCGCCAGACUCAAAAUCUGGUUUAGGUAACUAAGUGAGAGUUCGAGUCUCUCCCCAGGCACCA
Molecule: transfer RNA, 87 nt
Filed under: Pseudomonadales bacterium
Lineage: Bacteria; Pseudomonadati; Pseudomonadota; Gammaproteobacteria; Pseudomonadales
Also listed under: 2 other names
Description: tRNA-Leu
Rfam family: tRNA
About the family: Transfer RNA (tRNA) molecules are approximately 80 nucleotides in length. Their secondary structure includes four short double-helical elements and three loops (D, anti-codon, and T loops).
Source: RNAcentral